RNAcentral lists this ribosomal RNA (1372 nucleotides) under uncultured bacterium. Its description in RNAcentral is "bacterial SSU rRNA". It matches the Rfam family "Bacterial small subunit ribosomal RNA", at positions 28 to 1381 of the family's 1533-position model. The record is from RNAcentral.
GAUGAACGCUGGCGGCGUGCCUAAUACAUGCAAGUCGAGCGAACGGACGAGAAGCUUGCUUCUCUGAUGUUAGCGGCGGACGGGUGAGUAACACGUGGAUAACCUACCUAUAAGACUGGGAUAACUUCGGGAAACCGGAGCUAAUACCGGAUAAUAUUUUGAACCGCAUGGUUCAAAAGUGAAAGACGGUCUUGCUGUCACUUAUAGAUGGAUCCGCGCUGCAUUAGCUAGUUGGUAAGGUAACGGCUUACCAAGGCAACGAUGCAUAGCCGACCUGAGAGGGUGAUCGGCCACACUGGAACUGAGACACGGUCCAGACUCCUACGGGAGGCAGCAGUAGGGAAUCUUCCGCAAUGGGCGAAAGCCUGACGGAGCAACGCCGCGUGAGUGAUGAAGGUCUUCGGAUCGUAAAACUCUGUUAUUAGGGAAGAACAUAUGUGUAAGUAACUGUGCACAUCUUGACGGUACCUAAUCAGAAAGCCACGGCUAACUACGUGCCAGCAGCCGCGGUAAUACGUAGGUGGCAAGCGUUAUCCGGAAUUAUUGGGCGUAAAGCGCGCGUAGGCGGUUUUUUAAGUCUGAUGUGAAAGCCCACGGCUCAACCGUGGAGGGUCAUUGGAAACUGGAAAACUUGAGUGCAGAAGAGGAAAGUGGAAUUCCAUGUGUAGCGGUGAAAUGCGCAGAGAUAUGGAGGAACACCAGUGGCGAAGGCGACUUUCUGGUCUGUAACUGACGCUGAUGUGCGAAAGCGUGGGGAUCAAACAGGAUUAGAUACCCUGGUAGUCCACGCCGUAAACGAUGAGUGCUAAGUGUUAGGGGGUUUCCGCCCCUUAGUGCUGCAGCUAACGCAUUAAGCACUCCGCCUGGGGAGUACGACCGCAAGGUUGAAACUCAAAGGAAUUGACGGGGACCCGCACAAGCGGUGGAGCAUGUGGUUUAAUUCGAAGCAACGCGAAGAACCUUACCAAAUCUUGACAUCCUUUGACAACUCUAGAGAUAGAGCCUUCCCCUUCGGGGGACAAAGUGACAGGUGGUGCAUGGUUGUCGUCAGCUCGUGUCGUGAGAUGUUGGGUUAAGUCCCGCAACGAGCGCAACCCUUAAGCUUAGUUGCCAUCAUUAAGUUGGGCACUCUAAGUUGACUGCUGGUGACAAACCGGAGGAAGGUGGGGAUGACGUCAAAUCAUCAUGCCCCUUAUGAUUUGGGCUACACACGUGCUACAAUGGACAAUACAAAGGGCAGCGAAACCGCGAGGUCAAGCAAAUCCCAUAAAGUUGUUCUCAGUUCGGAUUGUAGUCUGCAACUCGACUACAUGAAGCUGGAAUCGCUAGUAAUCGUAGAUCAGCAUGCUACGGUGAAUACGUUCCCGGGUCU